This 253-nucleotide unclassified non-coding RNA is filed under the name uncultured Alphaproteobacteria bacterium. RNAcentral's name for it is "contains 16S-23S intergenic spacer region". It matches the Rfam family "Bacterial small subunit ribosomal RNA", at positions 524 to 776 of the family's 1533-position model. The record is from RNAcentral. Lineage: Bacteria; Pseudomonadati; Pseudomonadota; Alphaproteobacteria.
UACGAAGGGGGCUAGCGUUGUUCGGAAUUACUGGGCGUAACGCGCGUGUAGGCGGGUGUCUAAGUCAGGGGUGAAAUGCCGAGGCUCAACCUCGGCACUGCCUUUGAUACUGGAUAUCUGGAGUCCGGGAGAGGUGAGUGGAACUGCGAGUGUAGAGGUGAAAUUCGUAGAUAUUCGCAAGAACACCAGUGGCGAAGGCGGCUCACUGGCCCGGAACUGACGCUGAGACGCGAAAGCGUGGGGAGCAAACAGG